CAUGCAGUCGAGCGGUAAGGNCCCUUUUGGGGGGUACACGAGCGGCGAACGGGUGAGUAACACGUGGGUGACCUGCCUUCAGCUCUGGGAUAAGCCUGGGAAACUGGGUCUAAUACCGGAUAUGACCUUGGGACGCAUGUUUUGGGGUGGAAAGUUUUUUCGGCUGGAGAUGGGCCCGCGGCCUAUCAGCUUGUUGGUGGGGUGAUGGCCUACCAAGGCGACGACGGGUAGCCGGCCUGAGAGGGCGACCGGCCACACUGGGACUGAGACACGGCCCAGACUCCUACGGGAGGCAGCAGUGGGGAAUAUUGCGCAAUGGGCGGAAGCCUGACGCAGCGACGCCGCGUGGGGGAUGACGGCCUUCGGGUUGUAAACCUCUUUCGCCAUCGACGAAGCUUCUGGUUUUUGCUGGGGGUGACGGUAGGUGGAGAAGAAGCACCGGCCAACUACGUGCCAGCAGCCGCGGUAACACGUAGGGUGCGAGCGUUGUCCGGAAUUAUUGGGCGUAAAGAGCUCGUAGGCGGUGUGUCGCGUCGGCCGUGAAAACUUUCAGCUUAACUGGGAGCGUGCGGUCGAUACGGGCAUCACUUGAGUUCGGCAGGGGAGACUGGAAUUCCUGGUGUAGCGGUGAAAUGCGCAGAUAUCAGGAGGAACACCGGUGGCGAAGGCGGGUCUCUGGGCCGAUACUGACGCUGAGGAGCGAAAGCGUGGGGAGCGAACAGGAUUAGAUACCCUGGUAGUCCACGCUGUAAACGUUGGGCGCUAGGUGUGGGGGCCAUUCCACGGUCUCUGUGCCGCAGCUAACGCAUUAAGCGCCCCGCCUGGGGAGUACGGGCCGCAAGGCUAAAACUCAAAGGAAUU
Molecule: ribosomal RNA, 861 nt
Filed under: uncultured bacterium
Lineage: Bacteria
Description: bacterial SSU rRNA
Rfam family: Bacterial small subunit ribosomal RNA
Source: RNAcentral